RNAcentral lists this transfer RNA (88 nucleotides) under Corvus brachyrhynchos (American crow). It matches the Rfam family "tRNA". From Rfam's summary of the family: Transfer RNA (tRNA) molecules are approximately 80 nucleotides in length. Their secondary structure includes four short double-helical elements and three loops (D, anti-codon, and T loops). The record is from Rfam by way of RNAcentral. Lineage: Eukaryota; Metazoa; Chordata; Aves; Passeriformes; Corvidae.
CGAUAGCUCAGCUGGUAGAGCGGAGGACUGUAGCGGUCAACGCCUCGCGGGAAUCCUUAGGUCGCUGGUUCGAUUCCGGCUCGAAGGA